Molecule: ribosomal RNA, 1262 nt
Filed under: Schaalia meyeri
Lineage: Bacteria; Bacillati; Actinomycetota; Actinomycetes; Actinomycetales; Actinomycetaceae
Description: bacterial LSU rRNA
Rfam family: Bacterial large subunit ribosomal RNA
Source: RNAcentral
AGUUUUGUUGGGCAUUCGGUGGAUGCCUUGGUAUCAAGAGCUGAUGAAGGACGUUGCGGCCUGCGAUAUGCCUCGGGGAGUUGGCGAGCGAGCGUUAUUAUCCGAGGGUGUCCGAAUGGGGGAACCUAACCUGGGUUGUGCUGGGUUACCAUCAUCUGAACGUGUAUAGGGUGGUGGGGGGAACGCGGGGAAGUGAAACAUCUUAGUACCCGUAGGAGAAGAUAUUCCGUGAGUAGUGGCGAGCGAAAGCGGAGGAGGCUAAACCAGAUGCGUGUGAUAGGCGGCGGCUGUUGCGUGUUUGGUGUUGUGGGGCCAUGUUGGAUCCUUCUGCCGGGGGGUCGCGUUGCAUUGUGUUGGGAGUUGAACAGUCUGGGAUGGCUGACCGGAGAGCGUGAUAGUCGUGUAGAUGGACUGGUGUGGUGUGGCGUGGAUGUGGUGCCCGAGUAGUGCGGGACUCGUGGAAUCUCGUGUGAAUCUGCCAAGACCACUUGGUAAGCCUAAAUACUACUUGAUGACCGAUAGUGCAUAGUACCGUGAGGGAAUGGUGAAAAGUACCCCGGGAGGGGAGUGAAAUAGUACCUGAAACCGUGUGCCUGUAAGCCGUCAGAGCCUUGUGGGGUGAUGGCGUGCCUUUUGAAGAAUGAGCCUGCGAGUUAGUGAUGCGUGGCGUGCUUAACCCGUGUGGGGUAUGCGUAGCGAAAGCGAGUCUGAAAUAUUGGCGUUUGUCGCGUGUUCUAGACCCGAAGCGGGGUGAUCUACCCAUGGUCAGGUUGAAGCAGAGGUAAGACUGUGUGGAGGACCGAACCCACCAGGGUUGAAAACCUGGGGGAUGAACUGUGGGUAGGGGUGAAAGGCCAAUCAAACUCCGUGAUAGCUGGUUCUCCCCGAAAUGCAUUUAGGUGCAGCGUCGUGUGGUUCCUGGUGGAGGUAGAGCUACUGGAUGGCUGAUGGGCCCUGUGGGUUACUGACGUCAGCUAAACUCCGAAUGCCAUUAGGUGUAGCGCGGCAGUGAGACUGCGGGGGAUAAGCUUCGUAGUCGAGAGGGAAACAGCCCAGAUCAUCAGCUAAGGCCCCUAAGUGUACGCUCAGUGGGAAAGGAUGUGGAGUCGCGGUGACAACCAGGAGGUUGGCUUAGAAGCAGCCAUCCUUGAAAGAGUGCGUAAUAGCUCACUGGUCAAGUGGUUUCGCGCCGACAAUGUAGCGGGGCUUAAGCGUAUCGCCGAAGCUGUGGCAGCAACACGUGAUGCUGGCGCCGCCUUGGA